UACAGAGGGUGCAAGCGUUAAUCGGAAUUACUGGGCGUAAAGAGCGUGUAGGCGGCCACGCAGGUCCGUUGUGAAAACUGGAGGCUCAACCUCCAGCUGUCGACGGAAACCGUGUGGCUAGAGUCCGGAAGAGGAGAGUGGAAUUCCUGGUGUAGCGGUGAAAUGCGCAGAUAUCAGGAAGAACACCAAUGGCGAAGGCAGCUCUCUGGGACGGUACUGACGCUGAGACGCGAAAGCGUGGGGAGCGAACAGG
RNAcentral lists this ribosomal RNA (253 nucleotides) under uncultured bacterium. RNAcentral's name for it is "partial 16S ribosomal RNA". It matches the Rfam family "Bacterial small subunit ribosomal RNA", at positions 524 to 776 of the family's 1533-position model. The record is from RNAcentral.